Molecule: ribosomal RNA, 1346 nt
Filed under: uncultured bacterium
Lineage: Bacteria
Description: partial 16S ribosomal RNA
Rfam family: Bacterial small subunit ribosomal RNA
Source: RNAcentral
GACGAACGCUGGCGGCGUGCUUAACACAUGCAAGUCGAACGGAAAGGCCCUGCUUUUGUGGGGUGCUCGAGUGGCGAACGGGUGAGUAACACGUGAGUAACCUGCCCUUGACUUUGGGAUAACUUCAGGAAACUGGGGCUAAUACCGGAUAGGAGCUCCUGCUGCAUGGUGGGGGUUGAAAAGUUUCGGCGGUUGGGGAUGGACUCGCGGCUUAUCAGCUUGUUGGUGGGGUAGUGGCUUACCAAGGCUUUGACGGGUAGCCGGCCUGAGAGGGUGACCGGCCACAUUGGGACUGAGAUACGGCCCAGACUCCUACGGGAGGCAGCAGUGGGGAAUAUUGCACAAUGGGCGGAAGCCUGAUGCAGCAACGCCGCGUGCGGGAUGACGGCCUUCGGGUUGUAAACCGCUUUCGCCUGUGACGAAGCGUGAGUGACGGUAAUGGGUAAAGAAGCACCGGCUAACUACGUGCCAGCAGCCGCGGUGAUACGUAGGGUGCGAGCGUUGUCCGGAUUUAUUGGGCGUAAAGGGCUCGUAGGUGGUUGAUCGCGUCGGAAGUGUAAUCUUGGGGCUUAACCCUGAGCGUGCUUUCGAUACGGGUUGACUUGAGGAAGGUAGGGGAGAAUGGAAUUCCUGGUGGAGCGGUGGAAUGCGCAGAUAUCAGGAGGAACACCAGUGGCGAAGGCGGUUCUCUGGGCCUUCCCUGACGCUGAGGAGCGAAAGCGUGGGGAGCGAACAGGCUUAGAUACCCUGGUAGUCCACGCUGUAAACGGUGGGUACUAGGUGUGGGGUCCAUUCCACGGGUUCCGUGCCGUAGCUAACGCUUUAAGUACCCCGCCUGGGGAGUACGGCCGCAAGGCUAAAACUCAAAGGAAUUGACGGGGCCCCGCACAAGCGGCGGAGCAUGCGGAUUAAUUCGAUGCAACGCGUAGAACCUUACCUGGGUUUGACAUGGAUCGGGAGUGCUCAGAGAUGGGUGUGCCUCUUUUGGGGUCGGUUCACAGGUGGUGCAUGGCUGUCGUCAGCUCGUGUCGUGAGAUGUUGGGUUAAGUCCCGCAACGAACGCAACCCUUGUUCACUGUUGCCAGCACGUUAUGGUGGGGACUCAGUGGAGACCGCCGGGGUCAACUCGGAGGAAGGUGGGGAUGACGUCAAGUCAUCAUGCCCCUUAUGUCCAGGGCUUCACGCAUGCUACAAUGGCUGGUACAGAGAGUGGCGAGCCUGUGAGGGUGAGCGAAUCUCGGAAAGCCGGUCUCAGUUCGGAUUGGGGUCUGCAACUCGACCUCAUGAAGUCGGAGUCGCUAGUAAUCGCAGAUCAGCAACGCUGCGGUGAAUACGUUCCCGGGGCU